UGCGUAGGCGGCCCUGUAAGUAUGGUGUGAAAUCUCCCGGCUUAACUGGGAGGGUGCGCUAUAGACUGCGGGGCUCGAGUGUGGGAGAGGAAAGUGGAAUUCCUGGUGUAGCGGUGAAAUGCGUAGAUAUCAGGAGGAACACCGGUGGUGUAAACGGCUUUCUGGACCAUAACUGACGCUGAGGCACGAAAGCGUGGGUAGCAAACAGGAUUAGAUACCCUGGUAGUCCACGCCCUAAACGAUGCACAUUUGGUGUGGGUCAUUCAGUUGAUCCGUGCCGGAGCUAACGCGUUAAAUGUGCCGCCUGGGGAGUACAGUCGCAAGGCUGAA
Molecule: ribosomal RNA, 330 nt
Filed under: uncultured bacterium
Lineage: Bacteria
Description: bacterial SSU rRNA
Rfam family: Bacterial small subunit ribosomal RNA
Source: RNAcentral